UCUUUCUGUUUUCCGAUCUAAUAUUAAUAUUUUAACCAGAAUGGUCUCUCCCGUAAGUCUAUGAUGAAAUACACAGUAUCCCGUGGUUAAAUCUUCAAACAUAUUUAGUUUACAUGUUAUCGAGACAACAGACAAUACCACGUUAUAAUUGACCCAGAUACACACAGUGUACAGUGGUCGUUUUAAAACAAAUAUAAUUGCGUCGUCAAGGGCCAUCAAGGGACCAUAUCAAAGACGUAGAUAACAACCUGUUAAGACCUGUAUAAAUGACAGAAAACUUACGAGACGUUCCGAGAAUUUUAUUCUGACUUCCGGCCGAGAGAUAUCGAGUGGCCCAUAGACACAUCCAAAACUCGCCAAUAUAUAAGCAU
This 371-nucleotide long non-coding RNA is filed under the name Mytilus galloprovincialis (Mediterranean mussel). The record is from RNAcentral. Lineage: Eukaryota; Metazoa; Mollusca; Bivalvia; Mytilida; Mytilidae.